CUUUACUGUAGCCUGGAAUUGGGUCCGGGCUUCGCUUGCGCAGGAUAGGUGGGAGGCACUGAAACACUCCUUGUGGGGAGUGUGGAGCCAACGGUGAGAUACCACUCUAGCGAGGCUAGGAUUCUAACCUCUGCCCGUUAGCCGGGAGAGGAACAGUUUCAGGCGGGUAGUUUGACUGGGGCGGUCGCCUCCUAAAAGGUAACGGAGGCGCGCAAAGGUUCCCUCCGGCUGGUUGGAAAUCAGCCCGUGAAGUGCAAAGGCAUAAGGGAGCUUGACUGCAAGAGCCACACCUCGAGCAGGGACGAAAGUCGGCCUUAGUGAUCCGACGGCGCUGAGUGGAAGGGCCGUCGCUCAACGGAUAAAAGUUA
RNAcentral lists this ribosomal RNA (368 nucleotides) under uncultured organism. Its description in RNAcentral is "bacterial LSU rRNA". It matches the Rfam family "Bacterial large subunit ribosomal RNA", at positions 2099 to 2465 of the family's 2925-position model. The record is from RNAcentral.